GGUUAAGCCCCGGGGGGAGGGAGCUGCUGCAGCUUAUCCCCUGACAUCUGGAACUCCCUCUUCUCUCUGAUGUCCUUACUCUUCCUUCCCUAACCUAAUCUGUCGAAUGAAAAUCGGUUGUGGCGAAAGCCAGUGCUGGAUAGGUAGAUGUCUGGUAGAUACGUGCAGCCUGGGAUGCGUUUGUUAUCCCUAAUGGGUCGGGAAGCUGUCCUGGAAGGGGGUCGUCACCACGGAAACACACCUCAUCCAUCCAGGGUCCUGCAGAGGCACGGUGGUGCUCGGCAGCAGGGCAGGGAUUCGCUGUGAGGCUGAGUGCGGUCUCGGUGGAACCGAACCACCGCCGUAGCUGUAGGCUGGAAGCGGAACGGGGCGUUCAUUAGUGUCCGUGUGCAGCAGGGAGAGACGGGUGUCGGGGCAGGAGCGGUGCCUCGGUGAUGGCCAGGGACUGAACCGACACAGCCACAGCACACUGCCACAGCACUGCAAUGCUUGUCCUGGCUAGUGCGAAUGUCAGCCCACUCCCAGUGUUACUUUCUUCUAUUUCAGUCUCUACUGAAACCACUUAAUGUCCUGCCAAUUCGCAUUAACUCUCUCCUUUUAUGUAAUGAGACAGUGUAAAGAGCAAUCAUGUCAGUUAUCGAUUAGAGAAUGGGCAGUUUCACUUCGUAAAGAAGUGACACCUCUCUGUAUUGGCAGCCUGGGAAGCAUCUUUACUCUCUGGAGAUACACUUCUUGAGACCACGAAGCCUCCAACAGAACUGAAGGCUUAAAAAGGAAGACCAGUUUCAGUUGAGAGCUGAGCCCUCUAUCUCAGUGUGGUGGCCUGUGUUACCACAAAUAGGGGUACCAGUAACAUCCUCAGAAUCCCCAAACUGGCUUACCCCUUGGUGUUCUAAACUUGGCCAAAAUAAAACCGUAUCAGAGAGGCUUUUUCUGUAAUGAUGACAGCAUCAAG
Non-coding RNA from Cyanistes caeruleus (blue tit), 955 nucleotides. Lineage: Eukaryota; Metazoa; Chordata; Aves; Passeriformes; Paridae. The record is from RefSeq and is a predicted model, not a curated record.